CUUUAGCUUUUUCACCCCUUGCCAUGAUCAGGCUGAGGUGGAAGCGGGACCAGGGGAGUGAGGAGCUGUGAAUCCCAUGUUGUGGCUGCCUCAGCUGGAUGGCUUUCAUGGCAACACUGAGACUACCUCCUGACAUUUAACUCAGUUGGCUCUUCCAGGUUUGCUGCUGGGACCUGCUUUGGCACCUCAACACCGUGACUCCUGCAGCCACCUGCUUACCCCAGGAGAACGGGG
This 234-nucleotide long non-coding RNA is filed under the name Calidris pugnax (ruff). RNAcentral's name for it is "lncRNA (ENSCPUG00000002053.1)". The record is from RNAcentral. Lineage: Eukaryota; Metazoa; Chordata; Aves; Charadriiformes; Scolopacidae.